This 957-nucleotide long non-coding RNA is filed under the name Calidris pugnax (ruff). RNAcentral describes it as "lncRNA (ENSCPUG00000001046.1)". Lineage: Eukaryota; Metazoa; Chordata; Aves; Charadriiformes; Scolopacidae. The record is from RNAcentral.
AUACAGGACUUGUUAUAAAUCUAUUUUCAGAGCAUCUGAAUAUGAAGUUGUACAGAUGGACAUGCUAUUUGGAAUUGGACUACGCCAAAGCAAAAUGCUUUCAUGCAGUGGCACUUUGUGCCAUGGCAAUGGGCCAAGACACCUCAUGCCCAGAGCCCAGGAGAGAAAUCUCAGCAUCAUGCCAAUGCAAGAGUUUUGUUAUCCCUUCUUUUGGGAAAAAGGCAACAGAGAUGAGGACUGAGAUGUGGAAGAACACUUUCCCAGGCAGGGCAGCAUCCCUGGUCAUGACUCUCCUGAGCUUCCUCUCCCAGCUUCACCGUAGACCUCUCAGAUACCAGUCCAGCUGACAAAAAGAAACGCCCACUAUAUGUUGAGGAAGCAUCUGGUGCAACUUGGAUGUUUUUUGUCACUGAUUUUAAUAGCCAAAUGUGCAAAAGAGCUUACUGCAAAUAUUUCAAGAUUUUUGCUGAUGGAAGUUACAGAUAUGAAUUGAGAGACUGGAACCAAGGGAGAGAUUAUGGCUAUUUGGAGCCUGAAGCACUUAAAGCAUACGGAUCCUGUGUGCUUCUCCUGCCCCCCUUCUCAUUUCUUCCCUCACGCACUCUUGGAACUGCAGCAGGAAGGCGGCUUCCCUCUUGGGAAGCAUCAGUGAUCCUUUUCCUUUGCAGAUAGGGAAUUUCUUGGAAGACAGACAGGUAUGUUCCUCCAUGCUUCGAAGUUCUGGCUUGGCCUGGCCUGGCCUGCUGCACUUUUCUCCUGGUAAUAUUUGUCCAGUUCUUUGUUGGGGUGAUGCUGAAAGAGACCUUGCAGCAACAGAUCUCACUGAGAUGAAUGUUCAUAUUGUAGACCUCAGAAAGACCACACUAGAUCAGAAAAAUGUCACGUUGUCUAUCCUUUUGGGGAACAUUGUGAACUAGAAUAGUUUGAAAAAAUAAAAAAGGGAUCUGGGAAAAUCCA